RNAcentral lists this small RNA (143 nucleotides) under Chelonoidis abingdonii (Abingdon island giant tortoise). Its description in RNAcentral is "TUC338 (ENSCABG00000017264.1)". The record is from RNAcentral. Lineage: Eukaryota; Metazoa; Chordata; Testudines; Testudinidae.
UGAACAGCCCUGGAGACAAGAGCACUCUUUUGCUCCACAGGGCAGGGACAGCACAGGCUGGGCAGUGCAAGCUUCCCCUAGAGACAGUACCUUUCAGGAGCGAGAGGGACUUCAGUCUCCCUGGCUUCUGCAAUCAGACAGCC